UGGGGAAUUUUGGGCAAUGGGGGAAACCCUGACCCAGCAACGCCGCGUGAAGGACGAAAUCCCUCUGGGAUGUAAACUUCGAAAGUUGGGGAAGAAAUCCUGUCGGGGAAUAUCCGGUAGGGAUGACGGUACCCAACGUAAGCCCCGGCUAACUACGUGCCAGCAGCCGCGGUAAUACGUAGGGGGCAAGCGUUGUUCGGAAUUACUGGGCGUAAAGGGCGCGUAGGCGGCACAGCAAGUCGGGAGUGAAAGCCCGGGGCUCAACCCCGGAACGUCUUUCGAAACUGCUGAGCUCGAGUGCGGAAGAGGCAACUGGAAUUCCCAGUGUAGCGGUGAAAUGCGUAGAUAUUGGGAAGAACACCUGAGGCGAAGGCGGGUUGCUGGGCCGACACUGACGCUGAGGCGCGAAAGCCAGGGGAGCAAACGG
This 427-nucleotide ribosomal RNA is filed under the name uncultured bacterium. RNAcentral's name for it is "bacterial SSU rRNA". It matches the Rfam family "Bacterial small subunit ribosomal RNA", at positions 355 to 775 of the family's 1533-position model. The record is from RNAcentral.